Molecule: microRNA precursor, 61 nt
Filed under: Python bivittatus (Burmese python)
Lineage: Eukaryota; Metazoa; Chordata; Lepidosauria; Squamata; Pythonidae
Description: Pbv-Mir-130-P1a_pre stem-loop
Source: RNAcentral
UGCCCUUUUUCUGUUGUACUACUGGGAGCUCUCAUUAGCAGUGCAAUAUUAAAAGGGCAUU